GUAGGUGUAGCUCAGCAGGUAGAGCACCUGACUGUUAAUCAGGAAAUCGCAGGUUCGAGGCCUGCCAUCUACG
This 73-nucleotide transfer RNA is filed under the name Pediococcus acidilactici. RNAcentral's name for it is "tRNA-Asn". It matches the Rfam family "tRNA". From Rfam's summary of the family: Transfer RNA (tRNA) molecules are approximately 80 nucleotides in length. Lineage: Bacteria; Bacillati; Bacillota; Bacilli; Lactobacillales; Lactobacillaceae. The record is from RNAcentral.